RNAcentral lists this ribosomal RNA (253 nucleotides) under uncultured bacterium. RNAcentral describes it as "partial 16S ribosomal RNA". It matches the Rfam family "Bacterial small subunit ribosomal RNA", at positions 524 to 776 of the family's 1533-position model. The record is from RNAcentral.
UACGAAGGGGGCUAGCGUUGCUCGGAAUCACUGGGCGUAAAGCGCACGUAGGCGGACUCUUAAGUCGGUGGUGAAAUCCUGGAGCUCAACUCCAGAACUGCCUUCGAUACUGGGAGUCUCGAGUCCGGGAGAGGUGAGUGGAACUGCGAGUGUAGAGGUGAAAUGCGUAGAUAUCAAGAGGAACACCUGAGGCGAAGGCGGGUUGCUAGGCUGACACUGACGCUGAGGCGCGAAAGCCAGGGGAGCAAACGGG